CCAGACGAUCGCGUGCAGUAUGCAUGAGGAAAGUCCGGGCUCCACAGGGCGAGGAUGCCAGAUAACGUCUGGCGUAGGUAACUAUAGGGAAAGUGCAACAGAAACAUUCCGCCGAAACGGGUAAUGCCGUGGUAAGGUUGAAAUGGUGAGGUAAGAGCUCACCGGCGCAAUGGAGACAUUGCGGCCGUGUAAACCCCAUCCGGAGCAAGACUAAGACAGGGUUUGUAGUGCAGUGGCCCGCUGCCCCCGAGAGGUAAGUCGCUGGAGGCUGUCAGCAAUGGCAGUCGUAGAUGGAUGAUCGUUUAAUACAGAACCCGGCUUACGGUUUGCC
RNAcentral lists this RNase P RNA (331 nucleotides) under Mobilibacterium timonense. Its description in RNAcentral is "Bacterial RNase P class A". It matches the Rfam family "Bacterial RNase P class A". Rfam says of the family: Ribonuclease P (RNase P) is a ubiquitous endoribonuclease, found in archaea, bacteria and eukarya as well as chloroplasts and mitochondria. Its best characterised activity is the generation of mature 5'-ends of tRNAs by cleaving the 5'-leader elements of precursor-tRNAs. Cellular RNase Ps are ribonucleoproteins. Lineage: Bacteria; Bacillati; Bacillota; Clostridia; Peptostreptococcales; Anaerovoracaceae. The record is from RNAcentral.